RNAcentral lists this ribosomal RNA (560 nucleotides) under uncultured bacterium. Its description in RNAcentral is "partial 16S ribosomal RNA". It matches the Rfam family "Bacterial small subunit ribosomal RNA", at positions 355 to 905 of the family's 1533-position model. The record is from RNAcentral.
UGGGGAAUUUUGGACAAUGGGCGAAAGCCUGAUCCAGCCAUGCCGCGUGCAGGAUGAAGGCCUUCGGGUUGUAAACUGCUUUUGUACGGAACGAAAAGCCUCUUUCUAAUAAAGAGAGAUCAUGACGGUACCGUAAGAAUAAGCACCGGCUAACUACGUGCCAGCAGCCGCGGUAAUACGUAGGGUGCAAGCGUUAAUCGGAAUUACUGGGCGUAAAGCGUGCGCAGGCGGUUUUGUAAGACAGAGGUGAAAUCCCCGGGCUCAACCUGGGAACUGCCUUUGUGACUGCAAGGCUGGAGUGCGGCAGAGGGGGAUGGAAUUCCGCGUGUAGCAGUGAAAUGCGUAGAUAUGCGGAGGAACACCGAUGGCGAAGGCAAUCCCCUGGGCCUGCACUGACGCUCAUGCACGAAAGCGUGGGGAGCAAAACAGGAUUAGAUACCCCUGGUAGUCCACGCCCUAAAACGAUGUCAACUGGUUGUUGGGUCUUCACUGACUCAGUAACGAAGCUAACGCGUGAAGUUGACCGCCUGGGGAGUACGGCCGCAAGGUUGAAACUCAAA